Molecule: ribosomal RNA, 253 nt
Filed under: uncultured bacterium
Lineage: Bacteria
Description: partial 16S ribosomal RNA
Rfam family: Bacterial small subunit ribosomal RNA
Source: RNAcentral
GACGUAGGUGGCGAACGUUAUCCGGAAUUAUUGGGCGUAAAGGAUGCGUAGAUGGUGUAGUAAGUUAUCGGUGGUAAAUCGAGGCUCAACCUCGUGGAAGUCGGUAAUACUGCUAUGCUAGAGGAUAGGAGAGGUUAACGGAACUCCCUGUGGAGCGGUGAAAUGCGUAGAUAUCAGGAGGAACACCGGUGGCGAAGGCGGGUCUCUGGGCAGUAACUGACGCUGAGGAGCGAAAGCGUGGGGAGCGAACAGG